AUGCUCCCGCGGCCCAGCCAUCCCCUCGUGCACCCGGACCCGGAGGUUGCUGCUGCUGCGGCGGCGGCGGAGCAGGGGCAGGCUCCGGCUGCAGGAGCUCAGGGCCCGGCUCCAGCUGCAGCGGUGGCUCAGGGGCAGCCGGCUGCGGCGGCGGCGCAGGGGCAGGCGAUUGUGGCGGCGCAGGGGCAGGGGCAGGGGGUUGUAGCAGCUCAGGGGCAGGGGCAGGGCCCGGCUCCGGCUGCGGCGGCGCAGGGGGGAAACGCGAACGGGGACGCGCCGCCGCCCGGGGUGCUGAUGGUGGACCUGCUGGGGGCGCCGGGGACGCGCUGGGGGCUCGGCACCCGCCUCGCGCAGGCCGUCUUCGCGGCCGCCGCCGUCGCCUCCAUGGCCUCCACCGACGACUUCCGCGUCGUCACCGCCUUCAGCCUCCUCAUCGCAGCAGCAAGCCUGCAAUGCCUGUGGAGCCUUGCUCUGGGCGCUGUGGACAUCUACGCACUUCUUGUCAAGCGUGCCUUCCGGUCUCCUCGAGCUACCACCAUGUACUCCAUCGGGGACUGGGUAAGUCACAUAUUUUCUCAGGCACCUCAGAACAAAACCGCCCUCUGUCACUCAUUCCUUGUGGUCUCUUGCACUAGAAAAGCUUUACAUACCUGA
RNAcentral lists this ribosomal RNA (654 nucleotides) under Triticum aestivum (bread wheat). RNAcentral describes it as "partial small subunit ribosomal RNA". The record is from RNAcentral. Lineage: Eukaryota; Viridiplantae; Streptophyta; Magnoliopsida; Poales; Poaceae.